This is a long non-coding RNA of Mytilus californianus (California mussel), 1022 nucleotides long. RefSeq lists it as uncharacterized. Lineage: Eukaryota; Metazoa; Mollusca; Bivalvia; Mytilida; Mytilidae. The transcript has 3 exons. The record is from RefSeq and is a predicted model, not a curated record.
UUGCACAAAGCAAUAACACACUUCUUGAACAUGUUGGCAUUUACGUAUGUAGAGUAUCCAAUGGUAUAAAAGCUACAAAUGAAAAUUUGUAUCAGGAAGGAGCAGUAUCCGUUCAAUAUGAAGAUCGACCAGAACCUCCAAACAAUAUAACAGUGGUUCAAUACGAAAACCACAUGAUAGUGUCAUGGAUUCCAGGUUUUAAUGGUGGAUCCAAUCAAGAUUUCUUUAUACAGCAUCGAAAUACUGACACAGAAUCGUGGACAACCACAGGUCCCGUAAAAUAUAGCUUCGAAAAUGAAAUUAAGUACACUAUAUAUGAACUGGUAUCAAAUAAACAAUAUUUUGUGUGCAUGUUUUCUAGAAAUGUAAUUGGAGAUAGUGAAAAAACAAGUGUUACAGAAGCUAGAAUUUUUGAAUACGAACAAAUAACGCUUCCUGUAUACAAUUAUUGCUCGGUGAUUAUUGGAAAUAUUGUUGGAGGAAUGCUAAUAUGCAGUAUUGUCUCACAUAUUUAUUGCCGUUUGAGGCGAAAAAGAAGAUCUAAUGCGACGGUGGAAAUCACUCCAGAAGGUCAAUAUGAUGAAAUAGGAACAAUUAAUUAUAACAAUAUGAUUGUUGAUCCAAUAACUAACUUUGAACUAGAUAAUAAUGACCAUAUACCAACAGACACCGUGCGCAACGAUGUUAUAUCGAGUGGUGGUGGAGAUAGUUCAAGUGCAAGCUCUUUCAUAGGACAAACUGGUGACGGUUAUGAAAAUCCCUAUCAGGCGAUAAUUCCUUCAAUUAUCGAAAUGCACCAAUACAGUAGCAUCAUCCCAAAUAUGUAUCAAAACACAAUUAUAUCACCGGCAAGCGCGGCAACAACAUCUGCAGAGUACAUUAAUACAGCAAUUGAUAAUUACACAAAGCCCUAGCUUGUUAUAUACAAGAGGAUGCAAUAAAUCUGAACUACGAAAGUAACUGCAUAAUAGAUUUGUGUUUUCUGUACUGAGCUUUAUAAAGACAAAUGUAUGGUUAAUAUA